RNAcentral lists this transfer RNA (73 nucleotides) under Pristionchus pacificus. Its description in RNAcentral is "tRNA-Tyr (ATA) (tRNA-Tyr-ATA-1-1)". It matches the Rfam family "tRNA". Rfam says of the family: Transfer RNA (tRNA) molecules are approximately 80 nucleotides in length. The record is from RNAcentral. Lineage: Eukaryota; Metazoa; Nematoda; Chromadorea; Rhabditida; Neodiplogasteridae.
GGGGAUGUAGCUCAGUGGUUAGAGCGUCCACUUAUAAAGUGGGAGGUCCCUGAUUCAAUUCCAGGCAUCUCCA